Long non-coding RNA from Diachasmimorpha longicaudata, 1217 nucleotides. RefSeq lists it as uncharacterized. The record is from RefSeq and is a predicted model, not a curated record. The transcript is spliced from 2 exons. NCBI's taxonomy places the organism in Eukaryota, Metazoa, Arthropoda, Insecta, Hymenoptera, Braconidae.
GAAAGACUGAGAAGAAAACGAACAACGCAAAAUAACAAUUCCACGGGUACAAAUAAAUUCCACAAUCUCGGAUUGGAUUUUUCCCUCUCACAAUGGGCCCUAUCCUCGCAUUCGCGAAAAUAUUUUCUCUCUCGCAAUGUACACAACUGCACACUGGUAUUGCACGAGACCUACCCUUCUCCCAUUCAAAGAGGGGUAGUACCCAUCAAACAGAAGCAUUAGGCUUGAUCCGAGUGCGAUGUUCAUCCGAGCGGAUGACAACAUACUCUGGGAGCAGGCUUAAAGCUCUUUUCGUUUUCAUCUAUGUACCUUCGACCUUUCUCGCCCUACUCCCCCAUUCCUCUUCAUAUUUCCCUUUAAUUCCCACACUCGUGCAUCCUCGUACCGUUUGAUGGAGCAAGUGACUCUGGUGGCAUGUGUUCCUCAUGAAAGUUCACAUCUUCCGGUGUUUCCAUUCCCUCACGGUGUUUUGUUAUGUCAAAGGCAACACGCGAGUUUGAAAAUAUUAUUAUACGAUACGUCCCCCUAGAAAGAAUAAAGCAUUGACGUCAAUGCUUUUAAUCGCCAGCGGUGAUUAAUUAAACCGGGAAUAUCAGCUUUUCUUAUCACGUCCAGUCAAAUUGUGCUAACAUUAUUGCAACAAGACAAAGAGUUCAGGAGAGGAAGUGCAACUAUAAAGACACUCGUCCCGUUGCUCAUCACAACCAAGACAUCUCAGAACAAUUUUCUUCACGUCAUGAAGUUCCUCACUAUUUUGGUUGUAAUUGCGAUGGCUAUGGCAGCUGUCAGCGGUCAGUGCAGAGGACGGCGACAACCGGUUAGUCACUUAUAUCACCGAAAAUGUAUAAUGCGGUGCAUUGUCAAUUAACUUUUGCAUCGCAACCAAAAUACAAAUGGAUCCUAUUACUGAAGAUUCUGAUGAAUUUGUGAUAGACCCAUAUAACGUACAGGAAAUUUACAAUAACGAAUUACCGAUGUCUGAUUGAAUUUGAUCUUUUCAGUGUCAAACCGAUAACGACUGCUGCAACUUCGCUUGUCGUGGGCGUAGUAAAAUUUGCGCAUAAUUUUCGGAGUGGAUUAAUUCCUGUCAGUCUUCAAUGAAAAUCGGCUUCUGCGGCAACUCAAUUUAUUCGCAAUACCCAAUAAAAAUAUUUUCAAAACAUGAGAAAGUCUCUGACUCUUCUGUACCGAUUCCCAAUAAAUUCAAAUGAAAAUUA